CCCCAGUCCCCUCAAUGUCCCCAAUGUCCCCAGUCCCCCAAUGUCCCCAUUGCUGUCCCCAAUCCCCCCAACGUCCCCCUGCUGUCCCCAACGUGUCCCCACCGUGUCCCAGACUCGGAGCUGCAGGUGGCCCUCAUCGCGCUCUUCUCGGAGCUCCUCUACCGCUUCCCCAACCUGGUGGUGGCCCAGGUGACACGGGACAGCGUGCAGGCGGCCAUCGCCAACGGCAUCACGGCCGAGCAGAUCAUUCACUUCCUGCGCACCCGCGCCCACCCCGUGAUGGCCAAACAGAGCCCGGUGCUGCCCCCGACCAUCACGGACCAGAUCCGCCUCUGGGAGCUCGAGCGGGACCGGCUGCGCUUCUCGGACGGCGUGCUGUACAACCAGUUCCUGUCCCAGGUGGAUUUCGAGGUGCUGCGGGACCACGCCCGCGCCCUGGGCGUGCUGGUGUUCGAGAACCCCGCGCGGCGCCUGAUGGUCGUCACCCCCGGCGGCCACCCCGACGUCAAGCGCUUCUGGAAGCGGCAGAAGCACAACGGCUGAGCCCGGAACCCCCAAAUCCUGGGGGUUGGGAUCGCAAAAUCCCCAAAAUCCUGGGGGUUGGGAUCGCGAAAUCCCCGGAAUCCUGGGGUUUGGGAUCCCGAAAUCCCCAAAAUCCUGGGGUUCGGGAUCCCGAAAUCCUGGGGUUCAAGAUCCCAAAAUCCCCAAAAUCCUGGGGUUCGGGAUCCCGAAAUCCCCAAAAUCCCGGGAAUCCUGGGCUUCGGGAUCCCGAAACCCCCAAAAUCCCGGGGUUCAAGAUCCCAAAAUCCCCGGAAUCCUGGGGGUUGGGGAUCCCGAAAUCCCCAAAAUCCCCGGAAUCCUGGGGUUGGGGAUCCCAAAAUCCCCAAAAUCCCAGGGUUCAAGAUCCCAAAAUCCCCGGAAUCCUGGGCUUUGGGAUCCCGAAAUCCCCAAAAUCCUGGGCUUCGGGAUCCCGAAACCCCCAAAAUCCUGGGCUUUGGGAUCCCGAAAUCCCCGAAAUCCCAGGGUUCAAGAUCCCAAAAUCCCGGAAAUCCCCGAAAUCCUGGGGGUUUGGGAUCCCAAAAUCCCCAAAAUUCUGGGCUUUGGGAUCCCGAAAUUCUGGACUUUGGGAUCCCAAAAACCCCAACAUCCCCGAGGGGUUCAGGAUCCCAAAAACCCCGAAAUUCUGGGGUUUGGGGUCCAAAAAUCACCGAAUUUGGGGUUACUGGGGCACCCCAACAUCAAACACUUUUUGCUGUCCCCAAAACUCCCCAAAAUCCCAAAUUUGGGAUCCCAAAACCCCCAAAUUUGGGGUCUUGGCACCUCAUUCCCGAAAAUCCCGGAUUUUGGUGGGGGAAAAUUCGGUUUUUUUGUACAAACGAUGUUUUUUGGAAAGUUUUUUUUGUAGUAAAAACGUUUUGAGCGUUUAAAAAAAAAAAAAAGGCAAAAUUUUGAGAAGGGAAUGGGGGAUCCCUGAGAGAAAAGGAGAAAUUUGGGAUUUUGGGGGAUUUGGUGGGAAAAUCCCGCAAUUUGGGGAGAAAGAUUUUGGGAAUUUCGGAGAGGGAGAGGAGAGGUGGGGGGAGGGGCGGAUAUCUGAGGGGAAAAACGCGGAUUUAGGGAAAAACAGCGACGAGUUGGUGUGGGCGGAUAGGAUUGAUGGGUUUGGGGGUCAAAAAUGGGAAUUUUGGGGAUAAAAGUGGGAAUUUUGAGGACAAACAUGGGAAUUUUGGGGAUAAUACGAAUUUUGGUGAUAAAAAUGGGAAUUUUGGGGGAUAAAAAUGGGACUUUUGAGGACAAAUAUGGGAAUUUUGGGGCUAAAAGUGGGAAUUUUGGGGACAAACAUGGGAAUUUUGGGGACAAAAACGGGAAUUUCGGUCCCGGUGUCCCAAAUGCCUCCUUUUCCUCUGCGCCUCUCACCGCGGCGUUACGGUAAGCCCCGCCCGCGCGCUCGCGUCAUUACGGCAGCGCCGCCAGCGGGCGCGACCUCGCUCUGAUUGGCUCGACGGCGCGCUGCCCGCGCGCUGAUUGGCCGAAGCUUUCCCGCGCUGGGCGCUGAUUGGGCGGCUCCGUGAGGGAGGGAGGAGGAGGAGGAGAAAGACGCCGGAGCGGCCAUGGCGGCCAUGGCGGCGCUGGAGCGCUGGGUGUCCGGGCAGCUGCAGGAGCUGCUGGGCCUCAGCGGCCGCCACGUCCCCGCCUUCCUGGUGGCGCUGGCGCGGCGCAGCCGGAGCCUGGAGGAGCUGCUGGAGCGGCUGCGGGAGACCGAGACGCUGCGCGUGGAGGAGCCGCGCGUGCGCGAGUUCGCGCGCCAGCUGUGGGACAAGGUGGGCGGGGGGCAGCGAGGGGCGGGGCUUGUGGGAGGCGGGGGCGUGGUUCGUGGUUGGUGGGCGGGGUUUGGACGCGCCGCGUUG
RNAcentral lists this long non-coding RNA (2405 nucleotides) under Chloebia gouldiae (Gouldian finch). RNAcentral describes it as "Erythrura gouldiae (Gouldian finch) lncRNA (ENSEGOG00005009464.1)". The record is from RNAcentral. Lineage: Eukaryota; Metazoa; Chordata; Aves; Passeriformes; Passeridae.